Molecule: non-coding RNA, 72 nt
Organism: Phrynosoma platyrhinos (Desert horned lizard)
Lineage: Eukaryota; Metazoa; Chordata; Lepidosauria; Squamata; Phrynosomatidae
Source: the annotation of a GenBank genome assembly
GCCAGUGUGGUCUAGUGGUUUGAGUGUUGGACUAUGACUCUGGAGACUAGGGUUCACAUCCCCUCUUGGCCA